RNAcentral lists this ribosomal RNA (440 nucleotides) under uncultured Paracoccaceae bacterium. RNAcentral describes it as "bacterial SSU rRNA". It matches the Rfam family "Bacterial small subunit ribosomal RNA", at positions 338 to 795 of the family's 1533-position model. Lineage: Bacteria; Pseudomonadati; Pseudomonadota; Alphaproteobacteria; Rhodobacterales; Paracoccaceae. The record is from RNAcentral.
CCUACGGGGGGCAGCAGUGGGGAAUCUUAGACAAUGGGCGCAAGCCUGAUCUAGCCAUGCCGCGUGAGCGAUGAAGGCCUUAGGGUUGUAAAGCUCUUUCAGCGAGGAAGAUAAUGACUGUACUCGCAGAAGAAGCCCCGGCUAACUCCGUGCCAGCAGCCGCGGUAAUACGGAGGGGGCUAGCGUUGUUCGGAAUUACUGGGCGUAAAGCGCACGUAGGCGGACUGGAAAGUCAGGGGUGAAAUCCCGGGGCUCAACCCCGGAACUGCCUUUGAAACUCCCAGUCUUGAGGUCGAGAGAGGUGAGUGGAAUUCCGAGUGUAGAGGUGAAAUUCGUAGAUAUUCGGAGGAACACCAGUGGCGAAGGCGGCUCACUGGCUCGAUACUGACGCUGAGGUGCGAAAGCGUGGGGAGCAAACAGGAUUAGAUACCCUAGUAGUC